UUCAUUCAGGAAUGCGAAGGAGAGAGCCGUGGCUUAGGAGGCUGAUGAUUCUGCUGCUGCGGCGGAGAUUGUCCAAGGAGGAUCACGACACAAGAGACUCCCCCUUUUGAGCGGCCUCCUUGCAGCUCAGCUUUCCACAUCGGCGUCCAGACAAAAAUUCUGACUAUGUGGACAGUCUUGCGCAGAAAAAAAUGGCGGAGGACAACAACUUGUGGCAAAAAUACGAAGUGCGGUGAGGGUGCCAUGCCACUCCGCGGCCCCAGCCUGCUGAGCUGAGUGGGGACACACGGA
RNAcentral lists this long non-coding RNA (291 nucleotides) under Neogobius melanostomus (round goby). RNAcentral describes it as "lncRNA (ENSNMLG00000022288.1)". Lineage: Eukaryota; Metazoa; Chordata; Actinopteri; Gobiiformes; Gobiidae. The record is from RNAcentral.